UCCUGAGACGGGCGUGCAGUAUGUUCGACAUGUACCUGGUGUGGCUUCAAGUAAAGAAGCUGAGAAGGACAUUUCCCCUUGCCCAGACUGUCCAACUCCCCUGACUGUAUCAAGCCUGGCUGCCAGACACCUUCCAGGACCUGUCUCAAGUGGACAGUGUGGGGCUUGCGGGUCAGUGUGACAUUCACACAGCAGGUACAGAGAGCCUGGAGAGGCCCUGCCCAGCCCCAGGGACUGCCAGGCAGGGUGGUGGAGAAGGGGGCAUCAAAGGGAGCUCUCCAGAUUGAAGGAGAGUCUCGCCUGUCGUAAGAUUCCAGGUGCACACAGAGCCUAACCUGGUCAGAGGAGGGGCCCCAGGUGCCCAGGGAACAGCAAAGAGGUGAUAAUGGGAAGGGCUGCAACCUCUGGACCCAGAGUGGUUGUGGGCUGUGCUUCACCCCACUUUGCAGCCCCCAGCUGAGACAAGUCCCACAUGCCCACCAGGCAGAGGCCAGCACAGGCCCUGCCAGGGGUAGAAUGCCCAGUCACACUGCCACUCCACAGGACACUGUCACUCACAAAGCCUCACUGGACCACAUCUCUGCCAAAGAUUGUGAGGAUCAACCUCACCAGUACCCCCCUUCACAGGUGGGAAACUGAGGCCCAGGCCCCAGACAGUUGACCAGCUCUGAGCCACUGGACUCAAGGAGAGCAUUCACUGAAGUUGGUCAAACCUGGCUGCAAGGAGACCAGACCCAAGACUACCACAGCCCAGGCCCAGGGCAAGUGAACAACUUCAUCAGUACAGCCUCGCCCCCAGCACUGGACCGCUGUGGACUUCACUGCACAGAGGAGGACACUGAGUCCUGUAGAGGCUCAGAGGCUUACCCUGGUCACACAGCUGGGAGACAGCAGAGCCAAGAAAGGAACCCAAAAGCCUGACCCCAAAGUCUACACCCUCCAGGAGACUUGGCCAGUGGGGUGUCCCCCACAGGACCUUGACAGACAUGGCCUGGAAAAGCAGGGGGGCAGAGCUCACGCUGGCCGGAAGGUGGCAGGGCAGGCAGAGCCUUAGUGCCCGCCAAGGACUAUGGAGGUCACUCGGCCGGGAGCAGCCCUCGUACGUACGCCCCGCCCAAGCUCCACCCAAUCUCAGCGCCACCGGGACUCAGACCCUGGCUAGCUUCAGCCCCACCCAGAUUGCACCCCAACUCCACCCAGGCCCCGCCGCGCCUGGCCAAUGGCCCAGGCCUGCAAUUGGACACCUAAGAAACUCCAGACUAGGGCUGGAGUUGACCUCUGCUCCAUCCCCCAAGGACCCCAACUGUGGGUGUAGGGGUGUAGGGGUGUAGGGGUGUAGGUAGGCAGUAAAGGCCGGCAGAGCCCAGGAGGGCCUUCCCCCUGGUCCAGCCCACAGUCACAGCCAAUCAGAACCCCACUCCCGCAGGAAUUGUCGCCUGUGUUAGCAGCUUUAUUGAGGUUUAAUUUGCAUGCCCUGCAGUUCACCAUUUAAGGUGUACAUUUAAGGUGGGUUUCACUCAGGCUGUGCAGCCCUGGACACAACCUAAUUUGACAGCAUUUUCACCCUUUAAAAAGAAAC
RNAcentral lists this long non-coding RNA (1579 nucleotides) under Marmota monax (woodchuck). Lineage: Eukaryota; Metazoa; Chordata; Mammalia; Rodentia; Sciuridae. The record is from RNAcentral.